CAGUCGCCGCGGUAAUACGUAGGUGGCAAGCGUUGUCCGGAAUUAUUGGGCGUAAAGGGCUCGCAGGCGGUUUCUUAAGUCUGACGUGAAAGCCCCCGGCUCAACCGGGGAGGGUCAUUGGAAACUGGGAAACUUGAGUGCAGAAGAGGAGAGUGGAAUUCCACGUGUAGCGGUGAAAUGCGUAGAGAUGUGGAGGAACACCAGUGGCGAAGGCGACUCUCUGGUCUGUAACUGACGCUGAGGAGCGAAAGCGUGGGGAGCGAACAGGAUUAGAUACCCCUGUAGUCCCUGUCUCUUAUAC
RNAcentral lists this ribosomal RNA (301 nucleotides) under uncultured bacterium. RNAcentral's name for it is "partial 16S ribosomal RNA". It matches the Rfam family "Bacterial small subunit ribosomal RNA", at positions 509 to 807 of the family's 1533-position model. The record is from RNAcentral.